RNAcentral lists this small RNA (28 nucleotides) under Bombyx mori (domestic silkworm). Its description in RNAcentral is "piRNA piR-bmo-1724615". Lineage: Eukaryota; Metazoa; Arthropoda; Insecta; Lepidoptera; Bombycidae. The record is from RNAcentral.
ACAAACGUGACUAAGCGACAAUGCGUGA